This 305-nucleotide ribosomal RNA is filed under the name uncultured bacterium. Its description in RNAcentral is "bacterial SSU rRNA". It matches the Rfam family "Bacterial small subunit ribosomal RNA", at positions 335 to 654 of the family's 1533-position model. The record is from RNAcentral.
GGGCCUACGGGACGCAGCAGUGGGGAAUAUUGGGCAAUGGGCGCAAGCCUGACCCAGCAAUGCCGCGUGAAGGAAGAAGGCCUUCGGGUUGUAAACUUCUUUUAUCAGGGACGAAGGAUGUGACGGUACCUGAUGAAUAAGCUCCGGCUAACUACGUGCCAGCAGCCGCGGUAAUACGUAGGGAGCAAGCGUUAUCCGGAUUUACUGGGUGUAAAGGGCGCGUAGGCGGGAUGGCAAGUAAGAAGUGAAAUACAAGGGCUCAACCCUUGAACUGCAUUUGAAACUGUCGUUCUUGAGCACUGGAG